This 253-nucleotide ribosomal RNA is filed under the name uncultured bacterium. Its description in RNAcentral is "partial 16S ribosomal RNA". It matches the Rfam family "Bacterial small subunit ribosomal RNA", at positions 524 to 776 of the family's 1533-position model. The record is from RNAcentral.
UACGGGGGGGGCAAGCGUUGUUCGGAAUUACUGGGCGUAAAGGGCUCGUAGGUGGCCAACUAAGUCAGACGUGAAAUCCCUCAGCUUAACUGGGGAACUGCGUCUGAUACUGGAUGGCUUGAGAUUGGGAGAGGGAUGCGGAAUUCCAGGUGUAGCGGUGAAAUGCGUAGAGAUGUGGAGGAAUACCGAUGGCGAAGGCAGCCCCCUGGGAUAACACUGACGCUCAUGCACGAAAGCGUGGGGAGCAAACAGG